CCCUUAGAUGUCCUGGGCCGCACGCGCGCUACACUGAGUGUCUGAGAUACGAGUCUGCCUGGUCCGGCAAGGUCUAGGUAAUCGCUAAAAGACACAUCAUGCUUGGGAUAGAUUAUUGCAAAUAUUAAUCUUGAACGAGGAAUUCCCAGUAAGCGCAAGUCAACAGCUUGCGUUGAUUACGUCCCUGCCCUUUGUACACACCGCCCGUCGCUACUACUGAUUGGAUGUUUAAGCGAGGUUCUCGAACUGCUAGCGACUUAGCUUCGGUGAGGUCGCAGUGUGGGAAGUGAACCUAGCUUUGGUGUCGAGAGGAAGUAAAAGUCGUAACA
RNAcentral lists this ribosomal RNA (329 nucleotides) under uncultured eukaryote. RNAcentral's name for it is "partial 18S ribosomal RNA". It matches the Rfam family "Eukaryotic small subunit ribosomal RNA", at positions 1470 to 1796 of the family's 1831-position model. The record is from RNAcentral.